GCUACGGUGGCCAAGUGGUUAGCGCACUUGCCUUUCACCUCUGAGGCUGCAGGUUCGAAUCUCACUAAGUACCUUCUCAGUGCGACUCGAACCCAGUCCCCAUGUGAAAAGAGUAAAAAGUCAACGCUCUGCCGAACGCCGUGGGUUUUCCCCGGGUACUCCGGUUUCCUCCCACAGGGAAAAGUUGACAGGGUGGGUUAGGUAAAAGGGCCCACAGUAAUUGGCAUAUGCUGUUGUGGUGACCCUGCCCUAGUUGGCGAAGCUAAUAAAAACAAAAACAAAAACGAAUAGGGCGUCGACAGAAAGCCUAUGGACCGGAGAUUCGAAAAGUACAAUUUUCAGACUGG
This is a non-coding RNA of Paramuricea clavata, 347 nucleotides long. Lineage: Eukaryota; Metazoa; Cnidaria; Anthozoa; Malacalcyonacea; Plexauridae. The record is from the annotation of a GenBank genome assembly.